UACAGAGGGGGCAAGCGUUGUUCGGAAUCACUGGGCGUAAAGCGCACGUAGGUGGAUAGUUAAGUUCGGGGUGAAAUCCCAGGGCUCAACCCUGGAACUGCCUCGGAUACUGGCUAUCUCGAGUCCGGAAGAGGUGAGUGGAAUUCCUAGUGUAGAGGUGAAAUUCGUAGAUAUUAGGAAGAACACCGGUGGCGAAGGCGGCUCACUGGUCCGGUACUGACACUGAGGUGCGAAAGCGUGGGGAGCAAACAGG
This 253-nucleotide ribosomal RNA is filed under the name uncultured bacterium. RNAcentral's name for it is "partial 16S ribosomal RNA". It matches the Rfam family "Bacterial small subunit ribosomal RNA", at positions 524 to 776 of the family's 1533-position model. The record is from RNAcentral.